Molecule: ribosomal RNA, 322 nt
Filed under: uncultured bacterium
Lineage: Bacteria
Description: bacterial SSU rRNA
Rfam family: Bacterial small subunit ribosomal RNA
Source: RNAcentral
AAUCAACGCUGGCGGCGUGCCUAACACAUGCAAGUCGAGCGAGAAAGGGUAGCAAUACCUGAGUAAAGCGGCGCACGGGUGAGUAACACGUGGAUAACCUGCCUCGAAGUGGGGAAUAACCCCGGGAACGGAGCUAAUACCGCAUAUUCUGACAAGGUCUGUGGAUUUUGUUCAGGAAAGGAGCAAUUCGCUUUGAGGAGGGGUCCGGCGGCUGAUUAGCUAGUUGGUGAGGUAANGGCUCACCAAGGCCACGAUCAGUAGCCGGUCUGAGAGGACGGGUCGGCCACACUGGAACUGAGACACGGUCCAGACUCCUACGGGA